AGUCAUGGCUCCAGCGUUUGUGAAGAUUAUUUAUGAUGCUUCACCGUCAUCUCUGCCGUUGCCUGCUUUUUACAAUGAUGCCGUUCGAAACUUUGGCUUUCCUGUUGGGCAUGUCAGGUUGAGUACAGGUUCUCAAAUCUGGCAUGUUUACAUCAAAGCGACGACUAACGGAUGCUUUAUCACUGAUGGAUGGUCAAACGUUUUUUCGGAUCUUGGAAUUGAAA
RNAcentral lists this long non-coding RNA (224 nucleotides) under Helianthus annuus (common sunflower). RNAcentral describes it as "sRNA HanXRQr2_Chr05g0223511". Lineage: Eukaryota; Viridiplantae; Streptophyta; Magnoliopsida; Asterales; Asteraceae. The record is from RNAcentral.